GCACUCAUCCAAGAUCAAUAACAUGUGUUCUAUUAAAACUAUAAUUUACAUAGAAACGAUGGGAUCAUAAAUGUUAAAACAAUCGGCAAGAACCUGUCCAAUAAUGGCUUCGAGUAGCUAACUAACAGUCUAUAUACACAAACAUCUGAAAGGAAAAAAGGAGGCUAGAAAGCUAGGGGGUUCCCCUUUCACAACUGACUUUAUAAAUAAAAAAACAUCUGAAAGGAAAAAAGGAGGCUAGAAAGCUAGGGGGUUCCCCUUUCACAAUUGACUUUAUAAAUAAAAAAUUAUCAGGGAUGAUUAUUGAUGACUCGACAUGGAGGUACCAUUUUAUGAAGCAUAUUUGUCCCUUGGAAGGUCACAAACUGAUUGCAGUUCCUUCUGUAGUUGGCAAGCUGCAGGACAAGCGAAAACUCAAUAUUUCAAGUUGGAGGCGAGAUGUUAUGACAAGUAAUUCCGGUAAUGAAUUAUCCCCCAGAAACAUAAUUAAAACCCAACUUCAAAAAAUGCUAGACUGAAAAGUGGAAAAAAUUUCAAUAUCUACCACCUGGAAAGCAGUAAAACAAAUUUUA
Molecule: long non-coding RNA, 572 nt
Filed under: Medicago truncatula (barrel medic)
Lineage: Eukaryota; Viridiplantae; Streptophyta; Magnoliopsida; Fabales; Fabaceae
Description: long non-coding RNA (MTRU_LNC005616)
Source: RNAcentral